This 253-nucleotide ribosomal RNA is filed under the name uncultured bacterium. RNAcentral describes it as "partial 16S ribosomal RNA". It matches the Rfam family "Bacterial small subunit ribosomal RNA", at positions 524 to 776 of the family's 1533-position model. The record is from RNAcentral.
UACGGAGGGUGCAAGCGUUAUCCGGAUUCACUGGGCGUAAAGGGUGCGUAGGUGGCAUGGUAAGUCGGAUGUGAAAUCCCGGGGCUCAACCCCGGAACUGCAUUCGAUACUGCCAGGCUAGAGUACUGGAGAGGAGAUUGGAAUUUACGGUGUAGCAGUGAAAUGCGUAGAUAUCGUAAGGAAGACCGGUGGCGAAGGCGGAUCUCUGGACAGUUACUGACACUGAGGCACGAAGGCCAGGGGAGCAAACGGG